This 25-nucleotide non-coding RNA is filed under the name Rattus norvegicus (Norway rat). The record is from RNAcentral. Lineage: Eukaryota; Metazoa; Chordata; Mammalia; Rodentia; Muridae.
UAGAGCCAAUGAACGCCUGAGCCCU